GACGAACGCUGGCGGCGUGCCUAAUACAUGCAAGUAGGACGCACAGCCUAUACCGUAGCUUGCUACACCAUAGGCUGUGAGUUGCGAACGGGUGAGUAACGCGUAGGUAACCUGCCUAUUAGAGGGGGAUAACUAUUGGAAACGAUAGCUAAUACCGCAUAACAGUAUGUAACACAUGUUAGAUGCUUGAAAGAUGCAAUUGCAUCGCUAGUAGAUGGACCUGCGUUGUAUUAGCUAGUAGGUAGGGUAAUGGCCUACCUAGGCAACGAUACAUAGCCGACCUGAGAGGGUGAUCGGCCACACUGGGACUGAGACACGGCCCAGACUCCUACGGGAGGCAGCAGUAGGGAAUCUUCGGCAAUGGGGGGAACCCUGACCGAGCAACGCCGCGUGAGUGAAGAAGGUUUUCGGAUCGUAAAGCUCUGUUGUUAAGGAAGAACGAGUGUGAGAAUGGAAAGUUCAUACUGUGACGGUACUUAACCAGAAAGGGACGGCUAACUACGUGCCAGCAGCCGCGGUAAUACGUAGGUCCCGAGCGUUGUCCGGAUUUAUUGGGCGUAAAGCGAGCGCAGGCGGUUAGAAAAGUCUGAAGUGAAAGGCAGUGGCUCAACCAUUGUAGGCUUUGGAAACUGUUUAACUUGAGUGCAGAAGGGGAGAGUGGAAUUCCAUGUGUAGCGGUGAAAUGCGUAGAUAUAUGGAGGAACACCGGUGGCGAAAGCGGCUCUCUGGUCUGUCACUGACGCUGAGGCUCGAAAGCGUGGGGGAGCGAACAGG
This 774-nucleotide ribosomal RNA is filed under the name Streptococcus anginosus. RNAcentral's name for it is "bacterial SSU rRNA". It matches the Rfam family "Bacterial small subunit ribosomal RNA", at positions 28 to 776 of the family's 1533-position model. The record is from RNAcentral. Lineage: Bacteria; Bacillati; Bacillota; Bacilli; Lactobacillales; Streptococcaceae.